GGCGCCGCGCCAGGACGGAGCGGGCCGGGGCAGAGCCGGGCCGGCCCGAGCGGGGCCGUUGCGGGCGGCGGGGCCGCGCGGAGGCGGAGGCGGCCAUGGAGGGGCUGGCGGGGUACGUGUACAAGGCGGCCAGCGAGGGCCGCGUGCUGACGCUGGCCGCGCUGCUGCUGAACCGCUCCGAGAGCGACAUCAAGUACCUGCUGGGCUACGUGAGCCAGCACGGCGGGCAGCGCUCCACGCCGCUCAUCAUCGCCGCCCGCAACGGGCACGCCAAGGUGGUGCGGCUGCUGCUCGAGCAUUACCGCGUCCACACGCAGCAGACCGGCACCGUCCGCUUCGAUGGCUUCGUCAUCGACGGGGCCACCGCGCUGUGGUGCGCGGCCGGGGCCGGCCACUUCGAGGUGGUCAAGCUGCUGGUGAGCCACGGCGCCAACGUCAACCACACCACGGUGACCAACUCGACGCCGCUGCGGGCGGCCUGCUUCGAUGGCCGGCUGGACAUCGUCAAGUACCUGGUGGAGAACAACGCCAACAUCAGCAUCGCCAACAAGUACGACAACACCUGCCUGAUGAUCGCGGCCUACAAGGGCCACACGGACGUGGUGCGGUACCUCCUGGAGCAGCACGCCGACCCCAACGCCAAGGCCCACUGCGGGGCCACCGCCCUGCACUUCGCCGCCGAGGCCGGCCACCUGGAGAUCGUCAGGGAGCUGGUCAAGUGGAAGGCGGCCAUGAUGGUCAACGGCCACGGCAUGACGCCGCUCAAAGUGGCCGCCGAGAGCUGCAAGGCCGACGUGGUGGAGCUGCUGCUGGCUCACGCCGACUGCGACAGGAGGAGCAGGAUCGAAGCUCUGGAGCUGCUGGGGGCCUCGUUUGCCAACGACAGGGAGAACUACGACAUCUUGAAGACUUACCACUAUUUAUAUUUAGCCAUGCUGGAGAGGUACCGCGACAGCGAGAACGUCAUCGAGAAGGAGGUGCUUCCCCAGAUCGAGGCUUACGGGAACAGGUCGGAAUGCAGGACCCCUCAGGAAUUAGAGUCCAUUAGGCAGGACAGGGAUGCCCUUCACAUGGAAGGCCUCAUAGUGCGGGAGAGAAUCCUGGGCUCGGACAAUAUCGACGUCUCCCACCCCAUCAUUUACCGGGGCGCGGUCUACGCGGACAACAUGGAGUUCGAGCAGUGCAUCAAGCUCUGGCUCCACGCCCUGCACCUGCGGCAGAAAGGCAACAGGAACACCCACAAGGACCUGCUGAGGUUCGCUCAGGUCUUCUCCCAGAUGAUCCACCUGAACGAGCCCGUGAAAGCCAAGGACAUCGAGAGCGUCCUGCGCUGCAGCGUGCUGGAGAUCGAGCAGGGCAUGGCGCGCAUCAAGACCACCCCGGACGCCGACAUCCACACGGCCAUGGACAACUACGAGUGCAACAUCUUCACCUUCCUCUACCUGGUGUGCAUCUCCACCAAGACGCAGUGCAGCGAGGACGACCAGUCCCGCAUCAACAAGCAGAUCUACAACCUGAUCCACCUGGACCCGCGCACGCGCGACGGCUCCAGCCUGCUGCACCACGCCGUCAACUCCGGCACGCCCGUGGACGACUUCCACACCAACGACGUGUGCAGCUUCCCCAACGCCCUGGUCACCAAGCUGCUGCUGGACUGCGGCGCCGACGUCAACGCCGUGGACAACGAGGGGAACAGCCCUCUGCACAUCAUCGUGCAGUACCACCGGCCCAUCAGCGACUUCUUGACGUUGCACUCCAUCAUCAUCAGCCUGGUGGAGGCCGGCGCCCACACGGACAUGACCAACAAGCAGAAGAAAACCCCUCUGGAUAAAAGUACCACCGGGGUGUCCGAAAUCCUCCUUAAAACUCAAAUGAAGCUGAGUCUCAAGUGCCUGGCUGCCCGCGCCGUGCGGAUCUACAACAUCAGCUACCAAAACCAGAUCCCCAGAACUCUGGAGGAGUUUGUCCAGUUCCACUAGGCCGUGUCCAACCCUUUGUGGUGGUGCUAUCCCGGGACGACACCAGACAGCAGAAUGCACCCGUGUCCAUGAAGCUGUUUUUCUCCAUUCCUUUGGUUUUGGGUUCCUCUGGAUUCCGUCUGCGGCCUCAGUUCUCGGGUGGAGAUGGUGGUGGAGGGCGGGGGGCAGGAAAAGCCACAUCGUUGUCCUGUAGUUGAAUCCGAUGUUUGAGAUUUUGGUCCUUUUUUUGAUUUAAAGAAUCCCUUCGUUAGCUCUUGGUUUUCUAAACGACACGAGAAGAGUCCCCCAGGUAACUCCUGUCGAACGUUUUGUGUCCGAGACGAUUCGCAGAAUUGGAUUUUAAACUCCUCGCAGUGAGGUGGGAGAAGAAGAAUUGGGAAUUCUGUGGUAGUUGGGUUAAAAGUGGAGUGUCCACCCCCGGAGCAGAGCGUUGCUCUCAUACCUCACCGUGCUUUUAUGCCUUUCAGCUCGUGCUGAAGACGUUGGUAACGUUUUAAAAAGUUGUGUUUUAAAUCAAAAUUUACAGCUACAGACGUGAGGGAUGCCCUGUUAGGAAAUGCAGGUGGAAAUUCAGCUCUUGAGGGGCUGAAUUCCAUUUUCAAGCUCUUCACCGACACUGCUCCAGUAAGUAUUGAAUAACCUUUGGACAAAAACCCACUUCCACGCCGACCGAAAAUAACCGGAAUCAUCGUUUCUUUUUCCGUAGCUCCGUCGCUCCUUUCCAAACAUCAUGCAUGGAUCCCUAGAAACUGGUCUGUCCAGCUGCACUCUUGGAUUCCAGAUGCUGUAUCUUCCUAACGGAGCCGUCUGCCGCCAAAGAGAGUCUUCCUUGAACCUGGCUUUUCCAAGAAGCGUUGGAGUCUGUGCCUCCCUGAAUUGGGCUAGAGGAUUUUUCAUGGUUUUUACUCCUUCCAGUAGGAAAAAAAAUCUCUUCUUAAAACUGAUUUUUACGAAAAAAAAAAAAAAAAAAAAUUUCUCCUCUCGUCAGCCUCUUUGCUGAUGAGCGAGUGAUUGUACGGGGACGUUGUCGCUUGAGAGCUUUGGGAGAAGUGGCAGAUGCUCCGACAGGAAAAUGUCACUUGUUGGGACAAGGCUCCUGAACCCUCUGUUCCUUUCCCACGCAGCUUUUUAACCGUCAGGAUGAACGAAUGUUCCGUGGGUUUUUUUUUUUUUUAAAAACAAUCCAGGUAGAACUUUCAGGCGAGAUUUGGGGCACACGUUUCUAUUUGUAUGACAAAGAAAUAAACAUUGAAUGUGGAAUUA
Molecule: RNA transcript, 3242 nt
Organism: Vidua chalybeata
Lineage: Eukaryota; Metazoa; Chordata; Aves; Passeriformes; Viduidae
Gene: FEM1B
Gene name: fem-1 homolog B
Exons: 3
Source: RefSeq, a predicted model, not a curated record